Molecule: ribosomal RNA, 253 nt
Filed under: uncultured bacterium
Lineage: Bacteria
Description: partial 16S ribosomal RNA
Rfam family: Bacterial small subunit ribosomal RNA
Source: RNAcentral
UACGGAGGGUGCACGCGUUAUCCGGAUUCACUGGGUUUAAAGGGUGCGUAGGUGGAUUGGUAAGUCAGUGGUGAAAUCUUUGGGCUUAACCUGAAAACUGCCAUUGAUACUAUCAGUCUUGAAUACCGUGGAGGUCAGCGGAAUAUGUCAUGUAGCGGUGAAAUGCUUAGAUAUGACAUAGAACACCAAUUGCGAAGGCAGCUGGCUACACGAGCAUUGACACUCAGGCACGAAAGCGUGGGGAUCAAACAGG